AAGCAUUUAGUCUAAAAAGACACUUGAUUUCGACUCAAUAAAUUUUGGUUUAAACCCAGAAAUUCUUA
Molecule: transfer RNA, 68 nt
Filed under: Plethodon cinereus (red-backed salamander)
Lineage: Eukaryota; Metazoa; Chordata; Amphibia; Caudata; Plethodontidae
Description: tRNA-Arg
Rfam family: tRNA
About the family: Transfer RNA (tRNA) molecules are approximately 80 nucleotides in length. Their secondary structure includes four short double-helical elements and three loops (D, anti-codon, and T loops).
Source: RNAcentral